Molecule: ribosomal RNA, 1184 nt
Filed under: Salmonella enterica
Lineage: Bacteria; Pseudomonadati; Pseudomonadota; Gammaproteobacteria; Enterobacterales; Enterobacteriaceae
Description: partial 23S ribosomal RNA
Rfam family: Bacterial large subunit ribosomal RNA
Source: RNAcentral
GGGUUGUGAGGUUAAGCGACUAAGCGUACACGGUGGAUGCCCUGGCAGUCAGAGGCGAUGAAGGGCGUGCUAAUCUGCGAUAAGCGCCGGUAAGGUGAUAUGAACCGUUAUAACCGGCGAUACCCGAAUGGGGAAACCCAGUGUGAUUCGUCACACUAUCAUUAACUGAAUCCAUAGGUUAAUGAGGCGAACCGGGGGAACUGAAACAUCUAAGUACCCCGAGGAAAAGAAAUCAACCGAGAUUCCCCCAGUAGCGGCGAGCGAACGGGGAGGAGCCCAGAGCCUGAAUCAGCAUGUGUGUUAGUGGAAGCGUCUGGAAAGGCGCGCGAUACAGGGUGACAGCCCCGUACACAAAAGCGCAUGUGCUGUGAGCUCGAUGAGUAGGGCGGGACACGUGGUAUCCUGUCUGAAUAUGGGGGGACCAUCCUCCAAGGCUAAAUACUCCUGACUGACCGAUAGUGAACCAGUACCGUGAGGGAAAGGCGAAAAGAACCCCGGCGAGGGGAGUNNNUGAAAAAGAACCUGAAACCGUGUACGUACAAGCAGUGGGAGCACAGGUUUACCUGUGUGACUGCGUACCUUUUGUAUAAUGGGUCAGCGACUUAUAUUCUGUAGCAAGGUUAACCGUAUAGGGGAGCCGGAGGGAAACCGAGUCUUAACCGGGCGUUAAGUUGCAGGGUAUAGACCCGAAACCCGGUGAUCUAGCCAUGGGCAGGUUGAAGGUUGGGUAACACUAACUGGAGGACCGAACCGACUAAUGUUGAAAAAUUAGCGGAUGACCUGUGGCUGGGGGUGAAAGGCCAAUCAAACCGGGAGAUAGCUGGUUCUCCCCGAAAGCUAUUUAGGUAGCGCCUCGUGAAUUCAUCUCCGGGGGUAGAGCACUGUUUCGGCUAGGGGGCCAUCCCGGCUUACCAACCCGAUGCAAACUGCGAAUACCGGAGAAUGUUAUCACGGGAGACACACGGCGGGUGCUAACGUCCGUCGUGAAGAGGGAAACAACCCAGACCGCCAGCUAAGGUCCCAAAGUCAUGGUUAAGUGGGAAACGAUGUGGGAAGGCCCAGACAGCCAGGAUGUUGGCUUAGAAGCAGCCAUCAUUUAAAGAAAGCGUAAUAGCUCACUGGUCGAGUCGGCCUGCGCGGAAGAUGUAACGGGGCUAAACCAUGCACCGAAGCUGCGGCAGCGA